RNAcentral lists this ribosomal RNA (468 nucleotides) under uncultured bacterium. RNAcentral's name for it is "partial 16S ribosomal RNA". It matches the Rfam family "Bacterial small subunit ribosomal RNA", at positions 28 to 507 of the family's 1533-position model. The record is from RNAcentral.
GACGAACGCUGGCGGCGUGCUUAACACAUGCAAGUCGAACGGUAAGGCCCUGCUUUUGUGCGGUGUUCGAGUGGCGCACGGGUGAGUAACACGUGAGUAACCUGCCCUUGACUUUGGGAUAACUCCUGGAAACUGGGGCUAAUACAGGAUAUGAGCUCCUUCUGCAUGGUGGGGGUUGGUAAGUUUCGGCGGUUGGGCAUGGAAUCGUGGUCUCUCAGCUUGUUGGUGGGGUAGUGGAUUACCAAGGCUUUGACGGGUAGCCGGCCUGAGAGGGUGACCGGCCACAAUGGGACUGAGGUAGGGCCCAGACGCCUACGGGAGGCAGCGGUGAGAAAUAUUGCACAAUGGGCGGAAGCCGGAUGCAGCAACGCCGGGUGCGGGAUGACGGCCUUCAGGGUGUAAACCGCGUUCGACUGGGACGAAGCGUGAGUGACGGUAAUGGGUAAAGAAGCAACGGCUAACUACGUG